RNAcentral lists this ribosomal RNA (742 nucleotides) under uncultured organism. RNAcentral's name for it is "bacterial SSU rRNA". It matches the Rfam family "Bacterial small subunit ribosomal RNA", at positions 582 to 1326 of the family's 1533-position model. The record is from RNAcentral.
AACAAGCCAAUAGUGAAAUCCACCAGCCUAACUGGUGUCAGCUAAUGGAACUGUAUAACUUGAGUACAGGAGAGGAAAGUGGAAUUCCUAGUGUAGUAGUGAAAUGCGUAGAUAUUAGGAAGAACAUCAGUAGCGAAGGCGACUUUCUGGACUGUAACUGACGCUGAGGAACGAAAGCGUGGGGAGCGAACAGGAUUAGAUACCCUGGUAGUCCACGCCGUAAACGAUGGAUACUUGGUGUUGGCCGUAAAGGUCGGUGCCGGAGCAAAUGUAUUAAGUAUCCCGCCUGGGGAGUACGGUCGCAAGGCUGAAACUCAAAAGAAUUGACGGGGACCCGCACAAGCAGCGGAGCAUGUGGUUUAAUUCGAAGCAACGCGAAGAACCUUACCAAAUCUUGACAUAUCAAAGCUAUCUGAGUAAAAUUGGAGUUCCAUUUGGACUUUGACUACAGGUGGUGCAUGGUUGUCGUCAGCUCGUGUCGUGAGAUGUUGGGUUAAGUCCCGUAACGAGCGCAACCCUUAUUUUUAGUUGCUAACAAGUAAAGUUGAGGACUCUAGAGAGACUGCCGAUGAAAAAAUCGGAGGAAGGUGGGGAUGACGUCAAAUCAUCAUGCCCCUUAUGAUUUGGGCUACACACGUGCUACAAUGGCCGGUACAACGGGUAAGCGAAGGGGUGACCUGGAGCCAAUCCUCACAAGCCGGUCCCAGUUCGGAUUGCAGAUUGAAACUCAUCUGUAUGAAGU